UACGUAGGGUGCGAGCGUUAAUCGGAAUUACUGGGCGUAAAGCGUGCGCAGGCGGUUGUGCAAGACAGAUGUGAAAUCCCCGGGCUUAACCUGGGAAUGGCAUUUGGGACUGCAAGGCUCGAGUGCGGCAGAGGAGACUGGAAUUCCUGGUGUAGCAGUGAAAUGCGCAGAUAUCAGGAGGAACACCAGCGGCGAAGGCGGCGCUCUGGGCCGGAACUGACGCUGAGGAGCGAAAGCGUGGGUAGCAAACAGG
RNAcentral lists this ribosomal RNA (253 nucleotides) under uncultured bacterium. RNAcentral's name for it is "partial 16S ribosomal RNA". It matches the Rfam family "Bacterial small subunit ribosomal RNA", at positions 524 to 776 of the family's 1533-position model. The record is from RNAcentral.